This is a long non-coding RNA of Acanthopagrus latus (yellowfin seabream), 2056 nucleotides long. RefSeq lists it as uncharacterized. The transcript is spliced from 3 exons. The record is from RefSeq and is a predicted model, not a curated record. NCBI's taxonomy places the organism in Eukaryota, Metazoa, Chordata, Actinopteri, Spariformes, Sparidae.
CGCCUUUUGGCUGCGCCAUUAGCUUAGAUAAACACAGAUAAAAGGGCUGAGUAACCUCACCCACCUCUGAGGCAAGACGCUGGCAGCGUAGAAACAGAUGGACAAGGUGACACGGAUGUCGGUGGCGCCCCCAAGGAAGGGUUCAGGGGAAGAAAUGGACCCCUGAUAUAAUUGUUGGCCACUCCGCUGGCUACUCUAGGUUGUGGGGGGGCUGAAGCCGAUCCCAGCUGACAUUGGGUGAGCGGCGGGGUACAUCCUGGAUAAGGAACCACAUAGCUUCACUUUGCGAGGCUGGAUUAACCAGCAGAAUCCUCGCAUCCUUUCAAGUCUUUAGUUCAUCCAGAUCAUUGUGUUGUUUAUAUGGGCCUUUAAAUUUAUAAUGCUUAUGACGAUACAGUGUGAGAACUUCUCCCUUUUCCUCCAUGAAAACUUUAUGAUUUUUUUUCUUUAUGAUUUUUAUCGCUCAAUAAUUUAGCCAUCUGACAGAUUGCUCCAAAGUUUACGACUCCGGAUAGCGAAUCAGUCCGACUUCAGAAUAGCACAUACUCACACACUGGCACAUAAACAUGUUCUCACAUACAUUUUCACACACCACGCUACAUAUUCACUGUGAUCACAUACGCUAUACAAAUCUCUAUAAUGCAAGCGGAGCAGUGUGGAGCUAUUUUCCCCGGGUAUCGACUCUCUGCCGCCAUGUUUUCACCAGAGAUAACCUGCUGACUUUCAACCCAAAUCGAAGCAUUGGCAAUUACAGUGUGUAAUUCAGCCCCUCGGGUAAACGGCGCUGCAGGUGCCGCAGUUAAAUAUGUCAGCGUGUUUUUAUGUCAUUAGUGCGUGUAAACAUGCAGCCGCGAUAAUCACAACCUUCGCGGCAGAUUUAUGCACCGAGGGGCUGGAUGCAUCAGAAAAGCAGAAAUUAUCAGCUCACCCGCCGGUGACUCUUACACACCACCUCUUUAUGCAGAUUACAGGAUGUAGGUGGGGCGGCCGCGCUCAUCGCAGCACAGACUGCUCCUCACACCAACACCCACAGACCAACAGGCUGGUGGAACAGCUAAACACCGGCCAGAAAAAGAGCAAGCGGCGCUUUAGCCGAGAGCUGGCCAGGCCACUGCCAGUCUGCAGCUAUGAGUAAGACGGAUGACUAAGCAGAGGACAAAAAACCAAAAGAUUGUAUGUUUGUGCACAGCAAACUUGUAAUAACAUAACGUGUUAUUUAAUCAGGUGACGCGUCUCUGAUUUGGCAUCUCAGUCAAAACAAGUGAAUCACGUCAGGAAACGUGUGCGGUCUUCAGCGUCGACUUCACUGUCAGCUGGAGUUUCCGCUUGAACAUUCUUCCCUUUAUCUGGUUUCCUUACGUUUGGACUUACUCUUAGUUUAGUUUUGGUUCUGUAUCCAUGCUGCUGCUUUCUUACCGCCUCUUUGCUAAGGCUGGAUUUCCAGUUCUACUUCUGUAUUCCUAAUAAUUCACUGUUAGUACAGUAAAUGUCAUCACAUCCUGUACGGUGGACUAUUUGUUACGGGAAAGCUCUAGCUGUUGCUGCGACAACAAAGAAUAAGGCACGUAGCCGAUGAAGAAGGAGAACUGUAUCUGUACCGACCGUUUGCUAGCACUCAUACAAUUUUCAAUUAAUCUAGCAAGCGCUUUUUGUCAAAAUUAAGAGCGUAUUUCUAUGAAAAGUUACUUAAAAGUACAAGUUUUUAAGUGGUUGCCACAUUUUUUGAUAACUGCCUCUAGCAGAUCUAUUUUUAGCGAGGUAGCUAAUCAAGCUAACAUUAGCUCCAUGUGUUGGUUGAAAACAUUGCCUCCAGCUGACUUUUUAAUGUUCCAAGCUGAAAGAAAGCCUUUAAAAGGAUCUUGAAUGUACCCAAUGAUUCAAACAUACAUGAUCUCAGACUUUCAACCUCCUAACUGAAAAGUACCUACAAUGGAACACCACUCAAAGUCAGAAUACCCAUUUGUUAGCUUGAGAAGACAGUAUUUCUUUUAGGCUGGGGGCGGGCGGUUUGGCGUUUCAAAGUAUGGAAGUACUAUAAAAUAAAACAUAUAUUUGG